Molecule: small nucleolar RNA, 130 nt
Filed under: Mus spicilegus (steppe mouse)
Lineage: Eukaryota; Metazoa; Chordata; Mammalia; Rodentia; Muridae
Description: Small nucleolar RNA SNORA17 (ENSMSIG00000015998.1)
Rfam family: Small nucleolar RNA SNORA17
About the family: snoRNA ACA 17 belongs to the H/ACA family of snoRNAs and is predicted to guide pseudouridylation of the 28S rRNA at positions U4659 and U4598. It shares the same host gene together with ACA43.
Source: Rfam by way of RNAcentral
CCUGCCCCUAGUGGCAUUGCAGGUAUAGCUUGUGUCACAAGUGUCUGAGUAGGGGACACAGAGGAGAGAGUCUGUGUAUGUACUCAGUAUUUUGACAUAUGAAUAUCUAAAUGACUAGUAGACUAACAGU